UGAGGAAUAUUGGACAAUGGAGGCAACUCUGAUCCAGCCAUGCCGCGUGCAGGAAGACUGCCCUAUGGGUUGUAAACUGCUUUUAUACAGGAAGAAACAUCUCUACGUGUAGAGACUUGACGGUACUGUAAGAAUAAGGAUCGGCUAACUCCGUGCCAGCAGCCGCGGUAAUACGGAGGAUCCAAGCGUUAUCCGGAAUCAUUGGGUUUAAAGGGUCCGUAGGUUGAUAAUUAAGUCAGAGGUGAAAGUUUGCAGCUCAACUGUAAAAUUGCCUUUGAUACUGGUUAUCUUGAGUUAUUAUGAAGUAGUUAGAAUAUGUAGUGUAGCGGUGAAAUGCAUAGAUAUUACAUAGAAUACCAAUUGCGAAGGCAGAUUACUAAUAAUUAACUGACACUGAUGGACGAAAGCGUGGGGAGCGAACAGGAUUAGAUACCCUGGUAGUCCACGCCGUAAACGAUGGAUACUAGCUGUUCGGACUUCGGUCUGAGUGGCUAAGCGAAAGUGAUAAGUAUCCCACCUGGGGAGUACGUUCGCAAGAAUG
This 541-nucleotide ribosomal RNA is filed under the name uncultured Bacteroidota bacterium. RNAcentral describes it as "bacterial SSU rRNA". It matches the Rfam family "Bacterial small subunit ribosomal RNA", at positions 355 to 896 of the family's 1533-position model. The record is from RNAcentral. Lineage: Bacteria; Pseudomonadati; Bacteroidota.